CGGGGCUUAAUGUCUUGUAAUUGGAAUGAUGGGAAUUUAAACCUCUUCCAGAGUAUCAAUUGGAGGGCAAGUCUGGUGCCAGCAGCCGCGGUAAUUCCAGCUCCAAUAGCGUAUAUUAAAUUUGUUGCAGUUAAAAAGCUCGUAGUUGAAUUUCUGCUGCAUUACAUUUCUCUUGUUUGAGUAUGUUAUUGUGGCUUAUUUCGGAUUGAUUUUUAUCAUUCCGGAUGAUUACUUUGAGAAAAUUAGAGUGCUCAAAGCAGGCUUUUGCCUUGAAUAGUUUAGCAUGGAAUAAUAAGAUAGGACUUCGGAACUAUUUUGUUGGUUUGCGUUACGAAGUAAUGAUUAAUAGGGACAGUUGGGGGUAUUCGUAUUCCGUUGUCAGAGGUGAAAUUCUUGGAUUUCCUGAAGACGAACUACUGCGAAAGCGUUUACCAAGGAUGUUUUCAUUAAUCAAGAAC
Molecule: ribosomal RNA, 458 nt
Filed under: Theileria orientalis
Lineage: Eukaryota; Apicomplexa; Aconoidasida; Piroplasmida; Theileriidae
Description: SSU rRNA
Rfam family: Eukaryotic small subunit ribosomal RNA
Source: RNAcentral